UGGUACACACUUCAUUUGCAAAAUACUUUCAUUUUGAAGAGAAGAAAAGAACCUUCGAGCUAGGGCAGAGAAAAGAAGAGCACGCGAAGAAGAGGAGCUGACCGGACCUUGACCGGAGUUCACUGGCACUUGACCGGAGAUGAUGAAGAUUAUCGGAUGGUUGGAAGUAGAGCUCGAGUAGGAAGAAAGAUGACCGUCCGAUCAGAACGUCAAAGCGUCGAGAGCAAGCUUCCUUUUUCCCUCGUUUUUUUUUCGUUCCAUUUUUUUCUUUUCUUCAAACCCUAUAAAAGGGGGCUCCUGCCAUGUAAAUACAUAUUUUUUUUUACAGACUUACACAGAGGCACUUUCAGAUACAGUUUUACACUUUGUAGAUUAGGUUUUUAUGCUUUCUAUAGAACAGGUUUUCGUUCUCUCUGCUUUUG
This 422-nucleotide long non-coding RNA is filed under the name Vigna radiata. RNAcentral describes it as "long non-coding RNA (VRAD_LNC013319)". Lineage: Eukaryota; Viridiplantae; Streptophyta; Magnoliopsida; Fabales; Fabaceae. The record is from RNAcentral.